UACGAAGGGGGCUAGCGUUGUUCGGAAUUACUGGGCGUAAAGCGCACGUAGGCGGGUUUGUAAGUAGGGGGGUGAAAUCCCAGGGCUCAACCCUGGAACUGCCUUCUAAACUGCAAGCCUGGAGGUCAGGAGAGGCGAGUGGAAUACCGAGCGUAGAGGUGAAAUUCGUAGAUAUUCGGUGGAACACCAGUGGCGAAGGCGACUCGCUGGACUGAUACUGACGCUGAGGUGCGAAAGCGUGGGGAGCGAACCGG
RNAcentral lists this ribosomal RNA (254 nucleotides) under uncultured bacterium. RNAcentral describes it as "partial 16S ribosomal RNA". It matches the Rfam family "Bacterial small subunit ribosomal RNA", at positions 524 to 776 of the family's 1533-position model. The record is from RNAcentral.